This 389-nucleotide long non-coding RNA is filed under the name Setaria italica (foxtail millet). RNAcentral describes it as "long non-coding RNA (SITA_LNC001917)". Lineage: Eukaryota; Viridiplantae; Streptophyta; Magnoliopsida; Poales; Poaceae. The record is from RNAcentral.
GGAUGGUCCUCAGCACGGCGGACACCAUCUUCUUCCUCCUUGUGGAUUUGACGAUUAUUCGAUCUAGAGACGGAGGGUGGGUUGGAGGACUGGAGGCGGCUGGGCUACUACUGCUCGUGUCGAGAGGAAGAAGAGGAGGAGGAUCGAUUGGAGUAGAGUUGCGGCGAUGGAAUGGAAUGGGAGGAUGGGCUGUGCGUGCGCUGGAUGAGUUGCACUGCCUCUUGCUCUCUCUCUAUUGUAUCCUGUUUGUCUGGUCUCUUGGGUUGGCAACCCGCAGCGGCUCUUCUCGGUGUUCAUAUAUAGCCGCCCGGCCGGCCGGGGGCCGCCGGGCCGGACCGGGCCGGCGCGCGCGAGGAUUCGGGAACCGGGGGACGCUGCCUGCCUGCCUG